Molecule: ribosomal RNA, 2795 nt
Filed under: human gut metagenome
Description: bacterial LSU rRNA
Rfam family: Bacterial large subunit ribosomal RNA
Source: RNAcentral
AGGGCGCACGGUGGAUGCCUUGGCACUAGGAGCCGAUGAAGGACGGGACUAACACCGAUAUGCUUCGGGGAGCUGUAAGUAAGCUUUGAUCCGGAGAUUUCCGAAUGGGGGAACCCAGCAUCUUUUAUAGGAUGUUACUUUUCAGUGAAUACAUAGCUGAUUAGAGGUAGACGCAGAGAACUGAAACAUCUAAGUACCUGCAGGAAGAGAAAGAAAAAUCGAUUCCCUGAGUAGCGGCGAGCGAAACGGGAAAAGCCCAAACCAAGAGGCUUGCCUCUUGGGGUUGUAGGACUCCGAUACGGUAGUCCAGUGAGAUAGUCGAAGGACCUGGAAAGGUCUGCUAGAAAGGGUAAAAGCCCCGUAGACAAAAUUUGACUGGCACCUAGGAGGAUCCUGAGUACGGCGGAACACGAGGAAUUCCGUCGGAAUCCGGGAGGACCAUCUCCCAAGGCUAAAUACUCCCUAGUGACCGAUAGUGAACCAGUACCGUGAGGGAAAGGUGAAAAGCACCCCGGAAGGGGAGUGAAAUAGAUCCUGAAACCGUGUGCCUACAACAAGUUAGAGCCCGUUAAUGGGUGAUAGCGUGCCUUUUGUAGAAUGAACCGGCGAGUUACGAUUACUUGCGAGGUUAAGUUGAAAAGACGGAGCCGCAGCGAAAGCGAGUCUGAAUAGGGCGAAUGAGUAAGUGGUCGUAGACCCGAAACCAUGUGAUCUACCCAUGUCCAGGUUGAAGGUGCGGUAAAACGCACUGGAGGACCGAACCCACGUACGUUGAAAAGUGCGGGGAUGAGGUGUGGGUAGCGGAGAAAUUCCAAACGAACUUGGAGAUAGCUGGUUCUCUCCGAAAUAGCUUUAGGGCUAGCCUCAGAGUAAGAAUGAUGGAGGUAGAGCACUGUUUGGACUAGGGGCCCAUCUCGGGUUACCGAAUUCAGAUAAACUCCGAAUGCCAUCCAUUCAUCUCUGGGAGUCAGACUGUGAGUGAUAAGAUCCAUAGUCGAAAGGGAAACAGCCCAGACCACCAGCUAAGGUCCCCAAAUAACUAUUAAGUGGAAAAGGAUGUGGGGUUGCACAGACAACUAGGAUGUUGGCUUAGAAGCAGCCACCAUUUAAAGAGUGCGUAAUAGCUCACUAGUCGAGUGACCCUGCGCCGAAAAUGUACCGGGGCUAAAUAGUUUACCGAAGCUGUGGAACACACCAAUAGGUGUGUUGGUAGGAGAGCGUUCUAAGGGCGUUGAAGGUAGAUCGUGAGGACUGCUGGAGCGCUUAGAAGUGAGAAUGCCGGUAUGAGUAGCGAAAGACAGGUGAGAAUCCUGUCCACCGAAUGACUAAGGUUUCCUGGGGAAGGCUCGUCCGCCCAGGGUUAGUCGGGACCUAAGCCGAGGCCGAAAGGCGUAGGCGAUGGAUAACAGGUUGAUAUUCCUGUACCCGUUGUUUUUGUUUGAGCAAUGGAGGGACGCAGGAGGCUAAGGAAUCAGACGAUUGGAAAUGUCUGUCCAAGCAAUAAGUCUUGAUGUGAGUCAAAUGCUUACGUCUUUAAGGACAAGUUGUGAUGGGGAGGGAAAUAAUAGUACCGAAGUUCCUGAUGUCACACUGCCGAGAAAAGCUUCUAGUGAGAAAACAAUGGCCCGUACCGCAAACCGACACAGGUAGUCGAGGAGAGAAUCCUAAGGUGAGCGAGAGAACUCUCGUUAAGGAACUCGGCAAAAUGACCCCGUAACUUCGGGAGAAGGGGUGCUGAUCUAACGAUCAGCCGCAGUGAAUAGGCCCAAGCGACUGUUUAUCAAAAACACAGGUCUCUGCAAAAUCGAAAGAUGACGUAUAGGGGCUGACGCCUGCCCGGUGCUGGAAGGUUAAGAGGAGUGCUUAGCGUAAGCGAAGGUACGAAUUGAAGCCCCAGUAAACGGCGGCCGUAACUAUAACGGUCCUAAGGUAGCGAAAUUCCUUGUCGGGUAAGUUCCGACCCGCACGAAAGGCGUAACGAUUUGGGCACUGUCUCAACGAGAGACUCGGUGAAAUUUUAGUACCUGUGAAGAUGCAGGUUACCCGCGACAGGACGGAAAGACCCCAUGGAGCUUUACUGCAGUUUGAUAUUGAGUGUUUGUACCACAUGUACAGGAUAGGUAGGAGCCGUAGAAGUCGGGACGCUAGUUUCGACAGAGGCGCUGGUGGGAUACUACCCUUGUGUUAUGACCACUCUAACCCGCACCACUGAUCGUGGUGGGAGACAGUGUCAGAUGGGCAGUUUGACUGGGGCGGUCGCCUCCUAAAGAGUAACGGAGGCGCCCAAAGGUUCCCUCAGAAUGGUUGGAAAUCAUUCGCAGAGUGUAAAGGCACAAGGGAGCUUGACUGCGAGACCUACAAGUCGAGCAGGGACGAAAGUCGGGCUUAGUGAUCCGGUGGUUCCGCAUGGAAGGGCCAUCGCUCAACGGAUAAAAGCUACCCUGGGGAUAACAGGCUUAUCUCCCCCAAGAGUCCACAUCGACGGGGAGGUUUGGCACCUCGAUGUCGGCUCAUCGCAUCCUGGGGCUGUAGUCGGUCCCAAGGGUUGGGCUGUUCGCCCAUUAAAGCGGCACGCGAGCUGGGUUCAGAACGUCGUGAGACAGUUCGGUCCCUAUCCGUCGCGGGCGUUGGAAAUUUGAGAGGAUCUGUCCUUAGUACGAGAGGACCGGGAUGGACUUACCGCUGGUGUACCAGUUGUCUCGCCAGAGGCAUCGCUGGGUAGCUAUGUAGGGAAGGGAUAAACGCUGAAAGCAUCUAAGUGUGAAGCCCACCUCAAGAUGAGAUUUCCCAUUUCU